RNAcentral lists this ribosomal RNA (1402 nucleotides) under uncultured Succinivibrionaceae bacterium. Its description in RNAcentral is "partial 16S ribosomal RNA". It matches the Rfam family "Bacterial small subunit ribosomal RNA". The record is from RNAcentral. Lineage: Bacteria; Pseudomonadati; Pseudomonadota; Gammaproteobacteria; Aeromonadales; Succinivibrionaceae.
GGCAGGCUUAAUACAUGCAAGUCGAACGGUAACAGCAAAAAAGCUUGCUUUUUUGGCUGACGAGUGGCGGACGGGUGAGUAAUACCUGGGAAGCUGCCUAAACGAGGGGGAGAACACCUGGAAACGGGUGCUAAUACCGCAUGAUACCGCAAGGUCAAAGGUUGGUUUACCAAUCGCGUUUAGAUGCGCCUAGGAGGGAUUAGCUAGUUGGUGGGGUAAAGGCCUACCAAGGCGACGAUCUCUAGCUGGUCUGAGAGGAUGACCAGCCACACUGGAACUGAGACACGGUCCAGACUCCUACGGGAGGCAGCAGUAGGGAAUAUUGCACAAUGGGGGAAACCCUGAUGCAGCCAUGCCGCGUGUGUGAAGAAGGCCUUCGGGUUGUAAAGCACUUUCAGAUGGGAGGAAUUUAGAUGGUCUAAUAGGCCAUUUGGUUGACGUUACCAUCAGAAGAAGCACCGGCUAACUCCGUGCCAGCAGCCGCGGUAAUACGGAGGGUGCGAGCGUUAAUCGGAAUAACUGGGCGUAAAGCGCACGUAGGCGGUCCGAUAAGUCAGAUGUGAAAGCCCUGGGCUUAACCUAGGAUGUGCAUUUGAAACUGUUGGACUAGAGUACUGUAGAGGGAGGUAGAAUUCCAGGUGUAGCGGUGAAAUGCGUAGAUAUCUGGAGGAAUACCAGUGGCGAAGGCGGCCUCCUGGACAGAGACUGACGCUGAUGCUCGAAGGUGCGGGUAUCGAACAGGAUUAGAUACCCUGGUAGUCCGCACAGUAAACGAUGGAUGCUCGCUGUUCCGUCCUUGGAUGGAGUGGCCAAGCGAAAGCAUUAAGCAUCCCACCUGGGGAGUACGCCGGCAACGGUGAAACUCAAAGGAAUUGACGGGGGCCCGCACAAGCGGAGGAACAUGUGGUUUAAUUCGAUGAUACGCGAGGAACCUUACCCGGGCUUGAACUGCAGGUGAACGAUUCAGAGAUGAUGAGGUCCUUCGGGACACCUGUGGAGGUGCUGCAUGGUUGUCGUCAGCUCGUGCCGUGAGGUGUCGGCUUAAGUGCCAUAACGAGCGCAACCCCUGUCUUCAGUUGCCAUCAGGUGAUGCUGGGCACUCUGGAGAUACUGCCACCGCAAGGUGUGAGGAAGGUGGGGAUGACGUCAAAUCAGCACGGCCCUUACGUCCGGGGCUACACACGUGUUACAAUGGCGUGUACAGAGAGUCGGUUGCGGGCAAUCGCAAUCUAAUCCUUAAAACACGUCUCAGUUCGGAUUGGGGUCUGCAACCCGACCCCAUGAAGCUGGAUUCGCUAGUAAUCGCGCAUCAGCCAUGGCGCGGUGAUACGUUCCCGGGCAUUGUACACACCGCCCGUCANGGCUGACUCCGCCGCAACUUCGCACAAACUCGGNGGCCNCC